UACGUAGGGUGCAAGCGUUGUCCGGAAUUAUUGGGCGUAAAGAGCUCGUAGGCGGUCUGUCGCGUCUGCUGUGAAAACUCUGGGCUCAACCCAGAGCCUGCAUUCGAAACUGACGAGCUCGAGUUCUGGAGGGGAAAGCGGAAUUCCCGGUGUAGCGGUGGAAUGCGUAGAGAUCGGGAAGAAUACCCGUGGCGAAGGCGGCCAGCUGGGCCAGGUCCGACACUGAGGCGCGAAAGCGUGGGGAGCAAACAGG
This 253-nucleotide ribosomal RNA is filed under the name uncultured bacterium. Its description in RNAcentral is "partial 16S ribosomal RNA". It matches the Rfam family "Bacterial small subunit ribosomal RNA", at positions 524 to 776 of the family's 1533-position model. The record is from RNAcentral.